ACCGAAGUGGUCUAAUACCUCAUAAUAUCCAUCUCGUAUGGAUUAAAGCUUUAUGCGCUUUGGGAGGGGCCUGCGUAACAUUAGCUUGUUGGUGAGGUAAAAGCUCACCAAGGCUUCGAUGUUUAACUGGUUUGAGAGGAUGACCAGUCACACUGGGACUGAGAUACGGCCCAGACUCCUACGGGAGGCAGCAGUAAGGAAUCUUCCACAAUGGGGCAACCCUGAUGGAGCAAUACCGCGUGCAGGAUGAAGCGUUUCGGCGUGUAAACUGCUUUUAUCACCGAAGAUUAUGACUGUAGGUGAAGAAUAAGGACCGGCUAACUACGUG
Molecule: ribosomal RNA, 328 nt
Filed under: uncultured bacterium
Lineage: Bacteria
Description: bacterial SSU rRNA
Rfam family: Bacterial small subunit ribosomal RNA
Source: RNAcentral